This 368-nucleotide long non-coding RNA is filed under the name Elaeis guineensis (African oil palm). RNAcentral's name for it is "long non-coding RNA (EGUI_LNC047979)". The record is from RNAcentral. Lineage: Eukaryota; Viridiplantae; Streptophyta; Magnoliopsida; Arecales; Arecaceae.
CCGUUAAGAACAAGGUGCGUCCCUCCCAUAUUUCUUGUCACCCAAAAGGAAAAGAAAAGAGAAGGGGGCAUCCAAGAGUUGGAUGCCCCAUAUCUCAAUCAUCUUGUCUCUCCUCUUCUCCUCCCUUCUUGAAAGAUUUUUGAAAUCUUUUCUUAUUAAUUUUUGAGCAUCAAAAAGAGACUUCUCUGCUGGUUAUAUAGUAAAAAAUUGAAAAAGAAAAGUUCUUCCCAAGGAGAGAAAGAUCAAGGAAGAAGAAGGGUCUUCUUUUUUGCGUGCAACCUUGAAGAAGGAGUUCUUCUUUCAUAUUUUUUUAUUUUUUUAAGAUAAAAAUUAGAUUAAAUUUGAUUUUUAAUAUUUAAAUUUAGAAG